GGAGACUUGUCCGAGUGGCUGAAGGAGCACGCUUGGAAAGCGUGUGUAGGGGCAACUCUACCGAGGGUUCGAAUCCCUCAGUCUCCG
RNAcentral lists this transfer RNA (87 nucleotides) under Chitinophagaceae bacterium. Its description in RNAcentral is "tRNA-Ser". It matches the Rfam family "tRNA". Rfam says of the family: Transfer RNA (tRNA) molecules are approximately 80 nucleotides in length. Their secondary structure includes four short double-helical elements and three loops (D, anti-codon, and T loops). Lineage: Bacteria; Pseudomonadati; Bacteroidota; Chitinophagia; Chitinophagales; Chitinophagaceae. The record is from RNAcentral.